RNAcentral lists this unclassified non-coding RNA (209 nucleotides) under uncultured fungus. Its description in RNAcentral is "sequence contains ITS1, 5.8S rRNA gene". The stretch from base 161 to 209 matches the Rfam family "5.8S ribosomal RNA", at positions 1 to 49 of the family's 154-position model. Lineage: Eukaryota; Fungi. The record is from RNAcentral.
UCUCCGUUGGUGAACCAGCGGAGGGAUCAUUACGAAUGGGUCCAAAAGACUCUUUAAACCUACCGUGCUCCCUUUUGAGGUUAUCAUGAAAGCCCUCCGGGGCAUAGGAAAUCUGAGAAAGCUCUGGAACUGCGCCCCGGCGCACGGACCAAUCAAUUACAACCCAUAACAAUGGAUCUCUUGGCUCUGGCAUCGAUGAAGAACGCAGC